This 407-nucleotide long non-coding RNA is filed under the name Pan troglodytes (chimpanzee). RNAcentral describes it as "long non-coding RNA NONPTRT015105". The record is from RNAcentral. Lineage: Eukaryota; Metazoa; Chordata; Mammalia; Primates; Hominidae.
GAAGGGAGAGAAAGGAGAGCCUGCAGUGUUUGAACCUGGUAUGCUCGUGGAGGGGCCCCCUGGCCCAGAAGGCCCUGCGGGAUUGAUUGGGCCCCCUGGCAUCCAGGGGAACCCAGGCCCAGUUGGAGACCCUGGAGAGAGGGGCCCCCCUGGCCGAGCAGGGCUCCCUGGAUCAGAUGGGGCUCCUGGUCCUCCUGGCACAUCUCUCAUGCUCCCAGUGAGUUGUCUCUUGGGUUUUGGAACAUGCUGAUGGGGAAGACAAGGAAUUGUGUCAUGUUACCAAGAACCAGAUGGGCAGGAAAGCUAUGGAGGAGUCUCUAAAGAUCAUCAAAGAUCAUCACUCCAAAGGGAUUCGUCUUUGGGGUUGGGGAGAUGGGGCCUCAUUAGGUGACCUAGAACAAAACACC